UAAGUAGGCGGAGGAAAUGACACAAACAUGGAUUCACUGAGUAACUGCGAGUGACAUGUGAUUUGCUCACAGCUGAUAUUCUUUGCUGUCUGCUUUGACAUGAGGACUUUGAGUGCGGUGCCAAUGGUGGUGUAAGUGUGAGCCAUCUUAGAAAAGAGGAGAGUGUGCACUGACAAGGGUGAGAAGCCUGUGUGUGCUUGCAAAAUCUCCAUAUGGGGGUCACGCUUUGAGAAUCAUGCUCUUAAAGUGGGUGGUAGACUCUUCUCAAAGCUGAGUACAGAACUGGGACCGACAGGGAAGAAGUACCAUGAGGGAGGUGUGAAAAGGACUUUGGAAAGAGACUUAAAAGAGCCUGUACUUGCUGAAGGAUAUGCAUACAGCAUGCUUGCAUGUGAGAUGAUUGCUGUGUGUAUGAGUCUGACUUUGGCUGGAUGGCCAUGGCCGUGUGCCAUGGACACUUGGCCACCCAAUGUGUAUCCUCUUGUGUGUGCCAGCAUGUGGGAGACAGUCAGUGUUUGAGUGCAGUGGUUGCUGUGUCUGGGGAUACAUCAGAUGUGCACUCAAAGAUCUGAGCAUGUUGAGAAGCAGGUGCAGAAGGGCCCUCCUGUCUGUAUGACCCGUCUUGAAACACGGACCAAGGAGUCUAGCAUGAGUGCAAGCAUAUGGGACCGAAGGCUCUGUGUGCAAUGAAGGUGGAGUCCCAGAUUUGUGCAUGAGUGUUCGAACAAGCAGGAGGACAAGGUUUGAGUCUGAGCAUUCCUGACAGGACCCGAAAGAUGGUGAACUAUGCCCGGAAAGGGCCAAGUCAGGGGAAACUCUGGUGGAGGCUCGUAGCGUUACUGACGUGCAAAUCGUUCGUCACACCUGGGUAUGGGGGCGAAAGACUAAUCGAACCAUCUAGUAGCUGGUUCCCUCUGAAGUUUCCCUCAGGAUAGCUGAACUUGCAGGACUUUCACCAGGUAAAGCGAAUGAUUGGAGGAAUUGGGGGUUGCAGACCUUUGACCUAUUCUCAAACUUUUAAUGGGUGUGUUGUGUGGUUGCUUAGCUGAACCAACAGCUAAUGAUGACUCUUAGUGGGCCACUUUUGGUAAGCAGAACUGGCGAUGAGGGGUGAACCUGAUGAUGGGUUAAGGCACUGAAGUUCUUGCUCAUCAGAAACUGUAAAGGGUGUUGGCUCAUUCUGACAGCAGGUCGGUGGUCAUGGAAGUUGAAAUCCGCUUGGGAGUGU
RNAcentral lists this ribosomal RNA (1228 nucleotides) under Gambierdiscus sp. UrGmb1. RNAcentral describes it as "eukaryotic LSU rRNA". It matches the Rfam family "Eukaryotic large subunit ribosomal RNA", at positions 43 to 1281 of the family's 3401-position model. The record is from RNAcentral. Lineage: Eukaryota; Dinophyceae; Gonyaulacales; Pyrocystaceae.